RNAcentral lists this ribosomal RNA (503 nucleotides) under uncultured bacterium. Its description in RNAcentral is "partial 16S ribosomal RNA". It matches the Rfam family "Bacterial small subunit ribosomal RNA", at positions 30 to 523 of the family's 1533-position model. The record is from RNAcentral.
AUUGAACGCUGGCGGCAGGCUUAACACAUGCGAGUCGAGCGGGGUGAUGGUGCUUGCACUAUCACUUAGCGGCGGACGGGUGAGUAAUGCUUAGGAAUCUGCCUAUUAGUGGGGGACAACAUCUCGAAAGGGAUGCUAAUACCGCAUACGUCCUACGGGAGAAAGCAGGGGAUCACUUGUGACCUUGCGCUAAUAGAUGAGCCUAAGUCGGAUUAGCUAGUUGGUGGGGUAAAGGCCUACCAAGGCGACGAUCUGUAGCGGGUCUGAGAGGAUGAUCCGCCGCACUGGGACUGAGACACGGCCCAGACUCCUACGGGAGGCAGCAGUGGGGAAUAUUGGACAAUGGGGGGAACCCUGAUCCAGCCAUGCCGCGUGUGUGAAGAAGGCCUUAUGGUUGUAAAGCACUUUAAGCGAGGAGGAGGCUCUUUUGGUUAAUACCCAAGAUGAGUGGACGUUACUCGCAGAAUAAGCACCGGCUAACUCUGUGCCAGCCGCCGCGGUAA